GCUGUCAAAGUAGCUCAGUUGGGUGAGCGUUAAACUGACGAUCUAAAGGUUCCUGGUUCAAUCCCAGACUUUAGCA
This is a non-coding RNA of Mauremys reevesii (Reeves's turtle), 76 nucleotides long. Lineage: Eukaryota; Metazoa; Chordata; Testudines; Geoemydidae. The record is from the annotation of a RefSeq genome assembly.